AACGAACGUUGGCGGCGUGGAUUAGGCAUGCAAGUCGAACGAGAAAGCCACCUUCGGGUGGUUAGUAAAGUGGCGAACGGGUGAGUAACGCGUGGGAAAUCUGCCCUACAGUUGGGGAUAACACUCCUAACGGAGUGCUAAUACCGAAUGAGACCACGAGAUCGCAUGGUCUUGAGGUUGAAGGUGGCCUCUCCUUGGAAGCUACCGCUGCAGGAGGAUCCCGCGUCCCAUUGGCUUGUUGGCAGGGUAACGGCCUACCAAGGCUUCGAUGGGUAGCUGGUCUGAGAGGAUGGUCAGCCACACUGGGACUGAGAUACGGCCCAGACUCCUACGGGAGGCAGCAGUCGAGAGGCUUCGGCAAUGGGGGAAACCCUGACCGAGCGACGCCGCGUGGGCGAUGAAGGUUGUAAGAUCGUAAAGCCCUGUCAGGAGGGAAGAACUGCCAAUGGGCAAACAGGCCAUUGGUUUGACGGUACCUCCAGAGGAAGCUCCGGCUAACUCCGUGCCAG
This 509-nucleotide ribosomal RNA is filed under the name uncultured bacterium. RNAcentral describes it as "bacterial SSU rRNA". It matches the Rfam family "Bacterial small subunit ribosomal RNA", at positions 29 to 511 of the family's 1533-position model. The record is from RNAcentral.